AUACGGAGGAUGCGAGCGUUAUCCGGAUUUAUUGGGUUUAAAGGGAGCGUAGGUGGGAUAUUAAGUCAGCUGUGAAAGUUUGGGGCUCAACCUUAAAAUUGCAGUUGAUACUGGUUUCCUUGAGUACGGUACAGGUGGGCGGAAUUCGUGGUGUAGCGGUGAAAUGCUUAGAUAUCACGAAGAACUCCGAUCGCGAAGGCAGCUCACCGGGCCGGAACUGACACUGAUGCUCGAAAGUGCGGGUAUCAAACAGGAUUAGAUACCCUGGUAGUCCGCACAGUAAACGAUGAAUACUCGCUGUUUGCGAUACACUGUAAGCGGCCAAGCGAAAGCGUUAAGUAUUCCACCUGGGGAGUACGCCGGCAACGGUGAAACUCAAAGGAAUUGGCGG
This 391-nucleotide ribosomal RNA is filed under the name uncultured bacterium. RNAcentral describes it as "partial 16S ribosomal RNA". It matches the Rfam family "Bacterial small subunit ribosomal RNA", at positions 523 to 916 of the family's 1533-position model. The record is from RNAcentral.